Long non-coding RNA from Pelobates fuscus (common spadefoot toad), 302 nucleotides. RefSeq lists it as uncharacterized. The transcript has 3 exons. The record is from RefSeq and is a predicted model, not a curated record. Lineage: Eukaryota; Metazoa; Chordata; Amphibia; Anura; Pelobatidae.
ACUUUGGUCCGUGGCUCUUUCCUGCCAACAACUUGACUCCUCUGGGUCCGCUACCUGUCGCCAUUUCAGGGUCCCUCACAGACAGGGUCUAGGGACACAAUGGGGUCAUAUUAGACAGCUGGUUACCCAACUAGCUUUCUUACAUCAAGAUUUCUCUUUUCCCUCUUGAUCUCCUGUUACAGCACGGACACUGGGGCCAUCGAAGGGACUCAUAUGUCCCGAGCGCGCAGCCCAUUCACAGGAAAGACCUACGAUUGACUUCAAUCUACUUACAGCAGAGCCUUACGAUUGACUUCAUUCAC